AGAAUUCCCCCCUUGAGUUUCCCCCCUUUAAAAAGGAUUGAACUCUGGCGGCAGGCCUAACCCCUGCAAGUCGAGCGGAGACGAGUUAACUGAACCUUCGGGGAACGUUAACGGCGUCGAGCGGCGGACGGGUGAAUAAUGCCUGGGAAAUUGCCCUGAUGUGGGGGAUAACCAUUGAAAACGAUGGCUAAUACCGCAUAAUAUCUUCGGCUCAAAGGGGGGGACCUUCGGGCCUCUCGCGUCAGGAUAUGCCCAGGUGGGAUUAGCUAGUUGGUGAGGUAAUGGCUCACCAAGGCGACCAUCCCUAGCUGGUCUGAGAGGAUGAUCAGCCACACUGGAACUGACACACGGUCCACACUCCUACGGGAGGCAGCAGUGAGGAAUAUUGCACAAUGGGCGCAAGCCUGAUGCAGCCAUGCCGCGUGUAUGAAGAAGUCUUCGGGUUGUAAAGUACUUUAGAAGUGAGGAAGUGGAUAUGUUAAUAGAUAUUAUUUGAGUUA
RNAcentral lists this ribosomal RNA (500 nucleotides) under uncultured bacterium. Its description in RNAcentral is "bacterial SSU rRNA". It matches the Rfam family "Bacterial small subunit ribosomal RNA", at positions 27 to 489 of the family's 1533-position model. The record is from RNAcentral.